RNAcentral lists this ribosomal RNA (464 nucleotides) under uncultured bacterium. RNAcentral's name for it is "partial 16S ribosomal RNA". It matches the Rfam family "Bacterial small subunit ribosomal RNA", at positions 28 to 507 of the family's 1533-position model. The record is from RNAcentral.
GACGAACGCUGGCGGCGUGCUUAACACAUGCAAGUCGAACGGAAAGGCCCCUUUGGGGGUACUCGAGUGGCGAACGGGUGAGUAACACGUGAGUAACCUGCCCUUGACUUCGGGAUAACUUCAGGAAACUGGGGCUAAUACCGGAUAGGAAUCCUUGCUGCAUGGUGGGGGUUGGAAAGCUUCGGCGGUUUUGGAUGGACUCGCGGCUUAUCAGCUUGUUGGUGGGGUAGUGGCUUACCAAGGCUUUGUCGGGUAGCCGGCCUGAGAGGGCGACCGGCCACAUUGGGACUGAGAUACGGCCCAGACUCCUACGGGAGGCAGCAGUGGGGAAUAUUGCACAAUGGGCGGAAGCCUGAUGCAGCAACGCCGCGUGCGGGAUGACGGCCUUCGGGUUGUAAACCGCUUUCAGCAGGGGCGAAGCUUUUGUGACGGUACCUGCAGAAGAAGCACCGGCUAACUACGUG